UACGUAGGGGCAAGCGUUGUCCGGAUUUAUUGGGCGUAAAGAGCGUGUAGGCGGCCGAGUAAGUCUGACGUGAAAUCUGGAGGCUCAACCUCCAGCUGUCGUUGGAAACUAUUCGGCUAGAGUCCGGAAGAGGAGAGUGGAAUUCCCGGUGUAGCGGUGAAAUGCGCAGAUAUCGGGAGGAACACCAAUGGCGAAGGCAGCUCGCUGGGACGGUACUGACGCUGAGAUGCGAAAGCGUGGGGAGCAAACAGGAUUAGAUACCCCGAGUAGU
RNAcentral lists this ribosomal RNA (271 nucleotides) under uncultured bacterium. RNAcentral's name for it is "partial 16S ribosomal RNA". It matches the Rfam family "Bacterial small subunit ribosomal RNA", at positions 524 to 794 of the family's 1533-position model. The record is from RNAcentral.